CAUAGUUAGCCAGUCUCAGGUGUCCACCAAGGAUUGAAAAGGGAAUCCCGUGCAAAUCGGGAGCGGACCCGCCGCCGUGACGCUCUCAUGAACCGUCUUCAUUCAUGCCACUGGGAAGGCCCGGGAAGGCGAAGACGGGAGGAGCCAGCCGGAAGACCUGCCUGAGCCCGUUUCCACGG
RNAcentral lists this non-coding RNA (179 nucleotides) under Pseudodesulfovibrio aespoeensis. The record is from RNAcentral. Lineage: Bacteria; Pseudomonadati; Thermodesulfobacteriota; Desulfovibrionia; Desulfovibrionales; Desulfovibrionaceae.